AGUCAAUAGAUACCCGGGUAGUCCACGCCGUAAACGAUGAGUACUAGGUGUAGGAGGUAUCGACUCCUUCUGUGCCGCAGUUAAACACAAUAAGUACUCCGCCUGGGAAGUACGGUCGCAAGAUUAAAACUCAAAGGAAUUGACGGGGGCCCGCACAAGCAGCGGAGCAUGUGGUUUAAUUCGAAGCAACGCGAAGAACCUUACCUAGACUUGACAUCUCCUGAAUAGUGUAGAGAUACAUGAAGCCCUUCGGGGCAGGAAGACAGGUGGUGCAUGGUUGUCGUCAGCUCGUGUCGCGAGAUGUUGGGUUAAGUCCCGCAACGAGCGCAACCCUUAUUACUAGUUGCUACCAUUAAGUUGAGCACUCUAGUGAGACUGCCCGGGUUAACCGGGAGGAAGGCGGGGAUGACGUCAAAUCAUCAUGCCCCUUAUGUCUAGGGCAACACACGUGCUACAAUGGUGAGUACAGAUGGAUGCGAUACCGCAAGGUGGAGCCAAACUCUAAAACUCAUCCCAGUUCGG
This 522-nucleotide ribosomal RNA is filed under the name uncultured bacterium. RNAcentral describes it as "bacterial SSU rRNA". It matches the Rfam family "Bacterial small subunit ribosomal RNA", at positions 775 to 1296 of the family's 1533-position model. The record is from RNAcentral.